UGACUCUUGUUUCUCUUCGAAAUGAAUCUUUCGCCUUUUACUGAAGGUUUGCCUGGGGAGGGAGAGGCAAGUGUUGCCUCAGUUUUUUUGAGGCCUUGUGAGAUAAACAAGGC
This is a small nuclear RNA of Capra hircus (goat), 113 nucleotides long. Its record names the gene U5. It matches the Rfam family "U5 spliceosomal RNA". From Rfam's summary of the family: U5 RNA is a component of both types of known spliceosome. The precise function of this molecule is unknown, though it is known that the 5' loop is required for splice site selection and p220 binding, and that both the 3' stem-loop and the Sm site are important for Sm protein binding and cap methylation. The record is from Ensembl. NCBI's taxonomy places the organism in Eukaryota, Metazoa, Chordata, Mammalia, Artiodactyla, Bovidae.